UACGAAGGGGGCUAGCGUUGUUCGGAAUUACUGGCGUAAAGCGCACGUAGGCGGAUAUUUAAAUCAGGGGUGAAAUCCCAGAGCUCAACUCUGGAACUGCCUUUGAUACUGGGUAUCUUGAGUAUGGAAGAGGUAAGUGGAAUUGCGAGUGUAGAGGUGAAAUUCGUAGAUAUUCGCAGGAACACCAGUGGCGAAGGCGGCUUACUGGUCCAUAACUGACGCUGAGGUGCGAAAGCGUGGGGAGCAAACAGG
Molecule: ribosomal RNA, 252 nt
Filed under: uncultured bacterium
Lineage: Bacteria
Description: partial 16S ribosomal RNA
Rfam family: Bacterial small subunit ribosomal RNA
Source: RNAcentral